UCAGCAUAUCCAAGCAGUUGCCAGGAUUUACUUUCAGUUUUGUUCUCGUGGAGCUCCACUCCUCCCCGCAGCAACGCUGACCUUUAGCAGCUAGUGCUGGCUGGAUUUGUCUUUAUCUCAAUCUUGGAGACAGGGCCUUCUCUAUGCCCCCCUCCCCCCUAAAAAUGUUACCGAGGGUUCUCAAAAAGAUCAGAGAGGAAGAGGCCACUGUAAUAGUUAUAGCCCCAUUCUGGCUGAGAAGAGUUUGGUUCUCUUCGCUCCGCAUGAUGUCGAUAGCAACUUUGUGGGUGCUUCCGGAGUCUCGGGAGCUUCUGUCUCAAGGUCCAGUCUUUCACCUAGGAGUAAAAAAAUCUACAUCUGACUGCUUGGCUCUUGAGAGGGAGAUUCUAAAAAGAAGAGGUCUUUGUGAAGAGGUAGUUAACACUCUGUUUGCCAGUCGGAAGAGGGUUACUUCUGAGAUCUACCUUAGAGUUUGGAGGGCCUUUUUUAGAUUCGCCAAUAGACCAGUGGAUGUGCUAGAGGUUCCUGACAUUCUGCUAGUGCUAGAAUUCUUGCAGGAAGGUUAGAAAAAAAAACUCAAUGCCGAUAUCUGGACUUUUAAAGAACUAGGCCUAAGUGCCUUGUUUGAGUUUAGAUUAGCAGUCCAUCCCUGGAUCAAGAGGUUUGGUACAGUUGUGUCCAAGUUAUCUCCUGUCUCUAAGGUCAAAACCCCUGUUUUUGGGAUUUAAACUUAGUCCUCUCUGCGCUUUCUUCUGACCCCUUUGAGUUGAUUGAUGGUAUUUCCCCUAAGAUGCUCUCCCUAAAGCUUGCUUUCUUGCUUGCCAUUACCUCGGCUAGAAGGGUUAGUGAGAUCAGUGUACUCUCUGCUGAUUCCUCCCCCCCCCCCCCCAUUUGGUUAUCUUGGAGGAUCGGGUAGUUAUUUCUCCUGAUCCUUCUUUUUUACCAAAAGUAUCUUCUCAUUUUCACCGCUCUCAGGAGAUAGUGCUACCUUCCUUCUGUGCCUCCCCUAAGAAUGAGAAGGAAUCGGAGUUCCACUGCCUAGACGUUAGAAGGUGUAUUUUACUGUAUCUGAAGAUCACUCAGCCUUGGAGGGCCUCCUCUCGUCUGCUGCUUUUGUUUCAGGGAGCUCAGAAGGGUUCUGCUGCCUCUUCUCAGACCAUUGCUAGGUGGAUCAGACAUGCCAUUGCCUUAGCUUAUUCUUCUAAGGGACUAGUUCCGCCCUUGGGGUUUGAGGCUCACUGUACAAGAUCAGUCUCCACAUCAUGGGCAGAGAGAGCUUCAGCUUCAAUUGAGCAGAUCUGUAGAGCAGCUACCUGGAGCUCUCCAAAUACUUUUUUAGGCACUAUAGACUGCAGCUACCUUCUAAUGAGGGUCUUUCCUUUGGCUGUAAGGUGCUGCAGGCUGUAGUCCCUCCCUAGAUAGGAUUCUUGCCUAUUCUCCUGGGGUGCUGUCAUAGGCGAAAGAGAAAUAUUGGAUUACACUUACCGAUGACAGCAUCCGGUUAAUUUUCCCCUCCCCCUGAAAAAAGAGGGUCGGAGUAUUUACCGGAAUUAUUAUUUUUUUUUUAAAUAUAGAAAAAAUUGCUCUCCUCUUCCGCAUUUCAGCACUCAGUAUUGUAUUCAGUCUGUGUGUUAUCUCCUAUAGGUUCUGACUCCAGGAGGAGAAGUCCCCCCGAGAGAUGUCCCCGUCCUCUGUAUUCCCAGGACUGUCCAGGGGAGAAGCUCCCAGAGAACCAUCAGGAUGAAAAUCUGAUGGAUAUUAAGGCUGAGGUUAAAGAUGAAGAAGAAGAGGAGACGGAUUUAUGGGGCAAUCAGCAGGAUGGACUCAUAGAAGGAAGUCCCCCCG
Bufo gargarizans (Asiatic toad) is the source of this 1845-nucleotide long non-coding RNA. RefSeq lists it as uncharacterized. The transcript is spliced from 3 exons. The record is from RefSeq and is a predicted model, not a curated record. Lineage: Eukaryota; Metazoa; Chordata; Amphibia; Anura; Bufonidae.